RNAcentral lists this ribosomal RNA (409 nucleotides) under uncultured bacterium. Its description in RNAcentral is "bacterial SSU rRNA". It matches the Rfam family "Bacterial small subunit ribosomal RNA", at positions 355 to 763 of the family's 1533-position model. The record is from RNAcentral.
UAAGGAAUAUUGCUCAAUGGGAGAAAUCCUGAAGCAGCAACGCCGCGUGGAGGAUGAAGGGUCUAUGACUUGUAAACUCCUGUAAAGAAGGAAAAGAUUCCCAUUAGAUGGGAGAUGAUGGUACUUCUGGAGUAAGCCCCGGCUAACUACGUGCCAGCAGCCGCGGUAAUACGUAGGGGGCAAGCGUUGUCCGGAUUUACUGGGUGUAAAGGGUGCUCAGGCGGAUUUGUAAGUCAGAGGUGAAAUCUUACAGCUUAACUGUGAAACUGCCGUUGAUACUGCAAGCCUAGAGUAUGGAAGAGNGUGAUGGAGUAUCUGGUGUAGCAGUGAAAUGCGUAGAUAUCAGAUAGGACACCAAUGGCGAAGGCAGUCACUUGGGCCAUUACUGACGCUAAAGCACGAAAGCGUG